GUAGAACUGGCUGUGUCAGACAAUUUAAGACAUCCACACCACCACAGACAUAGCAGCUGGUCAUGUUUUUUGCAGUGGAGAUUUAAUAGAUCAGAAGAGC
Molecule: non-coding RNA, 100 nt
Organism: Vicugna pacos (alpaca)
Lineage: Eukaryota; Metazoa; Chordata; Mammalia; Artiodactyla; Camelidae
Source: RefSeq, a predicted model, not a curated record